CCUACGGGAGGCAGCAGUGGGGGAUAUUGCACAAUGGGGGGAACCCUGAUGCAGCGACGCCGCGUGGGUGAAGAAGCGCCUCGGCGCGUAAAGCCCUGUCAGCAGGGGAGAAAAUGACGGUACUUGAAGAAAAAGCAUCGGCUAACUCCGUGACAGCAGCCGCGAUAAUACGGGGGAUGCCAGCGUUAUCCGGAUUUAUGGGGUUUAAAGGGUGCGUAGGCGGACGGUUAGGUCAGGGGUAAGAGGCCGGGGCUCACCCCCGGCGUGCCGUUGAAACUGGCUGUCUUGAGAUGGCGAGAGGUAUGCGGAAUGCGCGGUGUAGCGGUGAAAUGCUUAGAUAUUGCGCAGAACUCCGAUUGCGAAGGCAGCAUACCGGCGGCGAUCUGACGCUGAGGCACGAAAGCGUGGGUAUCGAACAGGAUUAGAUACCCGAGUAGUC
This 439-nucleotide ribosomal RNA is filed under the name uncultured bacterium. Its description in RNAcentral is "partial 16S ribosomal RNA". It matches the Rfam family "Bacterial small subunit ribosomal RNA", at positions 338 to 795 of the family's 1533-position model. The record is from RNAcentral.